UACGGAGGGGGGCUAGCGUUGUUCGGAAUUACUGGGCGUAAAGCGCGCGUAGGCGGACCUGCAAGUCGGGGGUGAAAGCCCGAGGCUCAACCUCGGAACUGCCUUCGAUACUGCGGGUCUCGAGUCCGGGAGAGGUGAGUGGAAUUCCUAGUGUAGAGGUGAAAUUGUAGAUAUUAGGAAGAACACCAGUGGCGAAGGCGGCUCACUGGCCCCGGUACUGACGCUGAGGCG
This 231-nucleotide ribosomal RNA is filed under the name uncultured bacterium. RNAcentral describes it as "partial 16S ribosomal RNA". It matches the Rfam family "Bacterial small subunit ribosomal RNA", at positions 524 to 753 of the family's 1533-position model. The record is from RNAcentral.